RNAcentral lists this long non-coding RNA (631 nucleotides) under Vigna radiata. Its description in RNAcentral is "long non-coding RNA (VRAD_LNC010595)". The record is from RNAcentral. Lineage: Eukaryota; Viridiplantae; Streptophyta; Magnoliopsida; Fabales; Fabaceae.
UAGGGUCAAGGAUAUUUAAAUAAUUUUCAUUCUCAAAAUUAAAAAAAAAAAAGAAACUCCCAAACCCUUACUCACCCCUCAUUCCUCUGAACCUUUUCUCUUUCAUCUCUCUCACUCUACUCCAACAUUUUACUCUGUCAUCUGUUGCCCCAAUUGAAAAAAAAAAAUCAGAAACCCUUACCUAACCCUAAUUCACCUUCUUCAUUUAUCCAAUUUGUUUCUCUCUCGUCUCCAUACUCUCCCUCAGCCACACAUAACAACCCGCGACAUCGUAAUUUGUUGCUUUUGCUCUGUUCAUUCAUUUGGAGGAUGUGUUAUAUAUAUUCCCUUCUUAUGAUUAUUAAAUUUCAUUUUUAAAUUAAAUUAUGUAAAUAAAACCUUCAUAAAUCAACUAAAUUUUCAUACAUCAUUUACACAUCUACACCACAUUUCAUUAUAUUUUUAAAGAACAAGAUAUUUCCCUCUAUUGUCAUUUUCCCUUUACACAAAGUGUUUCUUUUUCCUUUCUCUUUUGGUAUGGUAUACAUGAUGUAAGAUUACAACCUAUAAUUGAAAGAAUUGUACUCCUAGGGAGCUCUUCUAUACCUAUUUCUUUAAUUUCCUUAUGUCCCUUUUUUAUCACUGAAUCAAC